This is a long non-coding RNA of Pteropus alecto (black flying fox), 2199 nucleotides long. RefSeq lists it as uncharacterized. The transcript has 4 exons. Lineage: Eukaryota; Metazoa; Chordata; Mammalia; Chiroptera; Pteropodidae. The record is from RefSeq and is a predicted model, not a curated record.
GGAGCCCGGGCCCGGCCUCUCCCCGGCGCCCCGGCCGGGCCGCCUCGCCAGGAUUAGUCUCUCAAGACUCGGCUCAUUUGGGACAUCGUCAGGGGAGCCUUUCCUGACUUCCAGCCUCCUAGCCCUCGGGGAAAAGGGAAAUUUGACCAUAGACACAAGGAGAACACCAUGUGAGGGCAGAGACACACAGGGAGAAGGCCACGUGACAACGGGCAGAGAUUGAAGUGCUGGAGCUCAAGCCAAGGACAGAUGAGGACUGCAAGAACACGCCAAGAGAGUAAACUGCUCUUUCCUAUUUUUAAGAAUUGGCUCAACCUCCCACUCUCCAUCACCAUCACCUCCAGACCAACUCGCUACCACUGUUGAGAUUCAUCAGACCUUCCUCCAGCCAAGAAAAAGUCAGCGGCUUCCCAUUUUCCUCGCAAGUUGAAACUUCCCUGCCGCGCACUAACCGCCCCCGUAGGUCUGGCCUUGCCCUUCCCUGCCAGGCCCGCGCUUGGCUUCAUUUCAGGGCCUGGCACUCGCAGUCCCCUCUGGCAGGGACUUUUCUGAGACCGGAAAUGCUGUUGGUCUCGUUCACCUCUGUACCCACGACUUGGAACAGUAACCCGAUUGGGCGAUUGAUUAUAGACUCAUAAGUCAUGUGAGAGACCCGCUGAGUCUGUUAAUUAUAAUUCUGCAACCGGCAGGGUCCAGUGCGAGGUCUGACUUUUUAGCUGGAUUGGCUCUGUGGCUCUAAGGGACAAGAGGUUCUCUUUGGCUAUUGUAGAAGCUUUAUGGUUCUCGAAACUUGAUAUUUGUUGAGAUAUGAAAGCCCUGAGCUUGUCAUUUUGUUUUUUUUUUUCCCCUCUGUGAACUCACCAGUGUGUUCAGAGGCAGCCAGCCCAUCCAGAACCUUUAUAUUCAUCAUCCCCACCAAAAUGGUCGAAUACAGCCAGCACGUGGUCUCCUCGAGUCUUGCCUUCCAUAAGCACUUCAUCCCAAGCAUCCAGUGGUGAUAAUUUAAGUAACCGUUUGCCACCACAUACUCUGCACUACCCACUUCCCACUUCCCACUGAGGUUAUCACUGCAUUCAGGCCAAAUCUACUCAGAUAGCCAGUCCGGAUUCCUGUCUUUGAGUCAGUUUCCUGGGGCUAUUUUAGGAGCUGAGCCUUCGUUUGGUCUGGAAGCAAAAACUACUCUAGGGUAUUUAAACAGAGGGAAUGUAGCACAGGAAAUUGGUGGCGAAGGUCUUGGAACAGUGGAAGAGCGCAGAGGAGCGGGCCGAGUUCCUCCAAGCUUUGCCAUUUGAGGAAGCCACUCCACCCUGAGGGCUGGACGCACAGAGAGCACGGUGUCACCCGGGGCCUGUCAUGUGACUGCUGUGCUGCUGAGGCUGCUGCGGGGACUGGCUGCCAGAGCAGGAGUCCAGGAGCCCUCACUCGCUCCCGCCAUGGCUGCUGCCACCACCUUUACUGCUUUUGUCACUGCUGUCAUUGUCCCUGUUGCUGCCGCAGAAUCAGGAACAAGGAAGGUUUCUCCCUUCUCCUGCUUUCCAGUCUCCUCCCAGUGGUGAUGGGGUGGAUUUGACCUGGGACACAGCAGAACUCUGGGUGGGGCACAUAUUUUUAGCAACGGAGCCUACAACAAGCAUAAGCCAGAAAUAAGACAUUCAUCCACUUAACUGGACUGUUGAAGUAGUAACGGAUAGCCCUGAGGUGAGUGAGUUACCUAAUGGGCCUACCUGUGUUCUGCCUGCGAGGUUGUCUCUGUGCUGGAGGCUGGAUGAACACAAGGAUAUUGAUCUCCAGAAUUACAAGAGCUUCUAACAAUUGGAGAUAGUCUAGGUCCUCUGGCAACUUGAAAAAUGACUAGGGAAGAACAGAGAGGGCCCCGUAACCCAAAAUUGAUCUGGAAACAAUGCCAGAGGUGUCCAGUGUUAAGAAAUGGUCCCUUUUCCUUGUCUUUCCUGGGCCUUGCCUGGUAACUGUACCAUAAAUAUCCUAAAGGGGGCAGUGCUGAGAGUCAGGGGGAGGCAGUAAUCUAAAAAGGAAGACAGAUUGGAAGGCUGUAGACAGGAGCAAUCGAUGCACUGAAAAAAAAAACAACAAAAAAACAAUGAAGGCUAAAUGUAUUAAUCACCAGUUAAGGGCUAAGUGUGAAAGCUGCAGCCAGAUGGCAGAAUAAAUCUGAGGAUCAGGCUCAGAUCUUAAUUAUAA